AACGAACGCUGGCGGCAUGCCUAACACAUGCGAGUCGAACGAGACCUUCGGGUCUAGUGGCGCACGGGUGCGUAACGCGUGGGAACCUGCCCUUAGGUUCGGAAUAACUCCCCGAAAGGGGUGCUAAUACCGGAUAAUGUCUUCGGACCAAAGAUUUAUCGCCUUUGGAUGGGCCCGCGUUGGAUUAGCUAGUUGGUAGGGUAAAAGCCUACCAAGGCGACGAUCCAUAGCUGGUCUGAGAGGAUGAUCAGCCACACUGGGACUGAGACACGGCCCGGACUACUACGGGAGGCAGCAGUGGGGAAUAUAGGACAAUGGGCGGCGUCCUGAACCACCAAUGCCGCGUGAGUGAUGAAGGCCUUAGGGUUGUAAAGCUCUUUUACCCGGGAUGAUAAUGACAGUACCGGGAGAAUAAGCUCCGGCUAACUCCGUG
This 433-nucleotide ribosomal RNA is filed under the name uncultured bacterium. Its description in RNAcentral is "partial 16S ribosomal RNA". It matches the Rfam family "Bacterial small subunit ribosomal RNA", at positions 29 to 507 of the family's 1533-position model. The record is from RNAcentral.